Molecule: ribosomal RNA, 220 nt
Filed under: uncultured bacterium
Lineage: Bacteria
Description: partial 16S ribosomal RNA
Rfam family: Bacterial small subunit ribosomal RNA
Source: RNAcentral
GCAAGUCGAGCGCACCCUUCGGGGCGAGCGGCGGACGGGUUAGUAACGCGUGGGAAUGUACCCUUUACUACGGAAUAGCCUCGGGAAACUGAGAGUAAUACCGUAUGUGCCCUUCGGGGGAAAGAUUUAUCGGUAAAGGAUCAGCCCGCGUAAGAUUAGAUAGUUGGUGGGGUAAUGGCCUACCAAGGCGACGAUCUAUAGCUGGUCUGAGAGGAUGAUC